RNAcentral lists this long non-coding RNA (538 nucleotides) under Carica papaya (papaya). Its description in RNAcentral is "long non-coding RNA (CPAP_LNC014504)". The record is from RNAcentral. Lineage: Eukaryota; Viridiplantae; Streptophyta; Magnoliopsida; Brassicales; Caricaceae.
GCUGAGUGUGAGUUGAUCUAGAGAAAAGCCAAAAUUUAAAAACGAGUGAAAUUGGGUGAUACCAUUAUUUGAGUGAAACACGUGAGGGAGUUAAGUGAGGAACUAUUUUUUUGCUUUACUAACAUCUUUUUGCAGCUUAGUACAAGAUGAGUGGACAAGCAAAUAUCCACAAAAUGAGUUAGAUAGGUUCCAAGCCUCAACGAAACUGAUAACAGCUAUAGAUGGAAGAUAUGGUGAGAUUAUUGAUCGAAUGGAGAGGCUAGAAAGUUUUGGUUACAAGGGGGCAGCCACCAAAUACUCCUAAUCCAGCCAUGCGUGGUAGAAGAUUUCCAAAUAGAGUUCAAGAGAGUAAUGACUUCGACGAUGAUGAAUCACGUGGUGAUAAUGAAGAAGAAGAGGAGGUGCAACCAAGAGCAAGAAACGACAAUAAUAGCAACUUUGGUGGUGUUAAAUUGAAGAUUCCAUCCUUUCAUGGAAGAAUGGAUCUUGAAACUUACUUGGAUUCGGAAAAGAAGAUUGAAGUAGUAUUUGAUUGCAA